UGGAGGAGGAGGAGAGGUGGAAAGUGUCUUGGGGCGACGGGGAGGACGGCGAGGUGGCCGUGGAUGCGUUCGGCACCGUCGUCGUCUGCAAUGGGCACUAACCCGUGCCCAAGCUCCCAGGUGAGAGGCGCAAUGCCUAGUUUCUCCCCCCUUCCUUCCUUCCGGAUCUUCUCAACUCAGAUCAGGGAAACAAAAUUAUGAGCUGCUGUCAGAAGAGUUAUUAAUUUUGAUUUCGCGACUUAAGAACUGAGAAGAUGCACAGCCACAGAUACGCAUUCCAGAGGCAGAUGGCCUCAGGUGUUGCUAAUUUGGAUUGACCCCUGAUGUUGAGGUGAUAACUUAUUCCUUCUUUUGGAGUUUGUUCCUUAGUACCGGAUAUGCAAUAUUAGGAAUUGAAGUGCUGAAUUGGCUUUUGUUCAUGUUGCAACAGUGGUUGAUGUACAUGUUGACUAUGCAUUGAUCCUGAUUCAUGAUGGGAUGCUCCUCACUCCUCAGCCAUGCUACAGGAUGCGCGUCACGGGAUUCCGCCUUAUAUGCAAUGCACAUAUUUUAGUGAGAAAAUUACUAGCCAUGAUAAAUACUACCCAAUUGCUAUCUAUCAUGAUGUUGUUUGACCACUGUUCAACUGCCAUAAUUUUUACACCUAAUGACCAGAUUAUUUUAUCUUAGUUGUCAUGUUGUAUAUAGUCGGUUGCCAUGAUGUUUAACAAUCAUUCAAUUGCCAUAUUUUUUACACGUAGUGACCAGAUUAGUUGAUCCUACUUGCCACAUUGUUUUACAAGAGCUCAACUGCCAUAUUUUACCUCUAAUGACCAUAUUAUUUGAUUCUACUUGUCAUGUUAUUUUCACCGUUCAAUUGCCAUAUUUCUUUAUCCCCAAUGACCAAAUUAUUUCAUCAUAGUGGCCAUAUUGUUUACCACCGCUCAAUUGCCACAUUUCCUACCCUUAGUGACCAAAUUAUUUGAUCCUAGUUGCCAUGUUAUUUUAUCACCGCUCAAUUGCCAUAUUUUUUAUUCCUGGUGACCAGAUUAUUUGAUCCUAAUUGAGAUAUUAUUUUACCAUCGCUGCGAUUGCCAUAUUUUUAGUCUAGUGACCAGAUUAUUUGAUCAUAAUUGUCAUAUUUUCUUUAGCAUCGCCCAAUUGCCAUAUUGUGUACACCUAGUGACCAGAUUAUAUGAUUCUAAUCGCCAUGUUCUUUUAUCACCACUCAAUUGUCAUAUUUUUUUUACGUCUAUUGACCAUAUUAUUUGAUGUUAAUUGCCAUGUUAUUUUACCACCGCUCAAUUGCCAUAUUUUUUAUCCUUAAUGACCAGAUUAGUUGAUCCUAGUUGCCAUGUUAUUUUACCGUUGCUCAAUUGCCAUAAUUUUUGUCCCUAACGACCACAUUAUUGAUCUCAGUUGCCAUGUUGUUUUCCCACUGCUGAAUUCCACACUCAGCUUUGUGACAGUUUCAAGAAUGUCCGUUAAAUUAUAUGGUGACGACAUUAAGAGACAUUGGACUGAUCAAUAUAAUGGGUUGUCAAUGGAGAUAGGAUUGUGGUAGUGGCAGUGCAAUGACGGCAAGAUGUGAAUGUGUAUUUGUAUAGAUUGUAAAUUAUGACUUGGUCCUGAUUUGGUGGUGUUAUGUUAUGAUUUUGUUGUAAAUUUUGUCAUGCGUGUAAUGUAGUUGUAUGUACUACUUUUAGGGUUGAAGUGCUGGUCGGAGCGAUGUGUGAAAAUGAUUUAAUCAGUAUCUAGACCUGUUGUCGGAUGCAUUAGUCACUAUGUAUGGAAGAGCGAUUUAAUAUGUAUGGGUCAAGCUCUAUUUGUCGAAAGAAUUAAGCUAAUUGAAAACAAUAAAGCCAAUCCAUCCCCAGCGUGAGAGCGCGCGGUACGGCAGCUGGCAGGAGGCGUAAAGCCAAUCCAUUCCUCUAGGUCCUCUUCUUGGAAGAAGCUCGUCUGCUGCUGCAGGUGGUGGUGGUGGUCGUCGUCCUUGAGGAAGAGGCCAAGAGGGCGCAAGAAGCUGCGCGAGCCGACCAUGUACUGAUCUUGAGGCCGAGCAAGGCCGAAGAACUCCAGGUCGAUUU
This 2066-nucleotide long non-coding RNA is filed under the name Brachypodium distachyon (stiff brome). RNAcentral describes it as "long non-coding RNA (BDIS_LNC005035)". Lineage: Eukaryota; Viridiplantae; Streptophyta; Magnoliopsida; Poales; Poaceae. The record is from RNAcentral.